Molecule: ribosomal RNA, 447 nt
Filed under: Segatella oris
Lineage: Bacteria; Pseudomonadati; Bacteroidota; Bacteroidia; Bacteroidales; Prevotellaceae
Description: bacterial SSU rRNA
Rfam family: Bacterial small subunit ribosomal RNA
Source: RNAcentral
GAUGAACGCUGGCUACAGGCUUAACACAUGCAAGUCGAGGGGAAACGACGGGGAAGCUUGCUUCCCCGGGCGUCGACCGGCGCACGGGUGAGUAACGCGUAUCCAACCUGCCUCUGACUGAGGGAUAACCCGUCGAAAGUCGGCCUAAUACCUCAUGGCAUCGUCUGCGGGCAUCCAACGACGAUUAAAGAUUUCAUCGGUCAGGGAUGGGGAUGCGUCUGAUUAGCUUGUUGGCGGGGUAACGGCCCACCAAGGCGACGAUCAGUAGGGGUUCUGAGAGGAAGGUCCCCCACAUUGGAACUGAGACACGGUCCAAACUCCUACGGGAGGCAGCAGUGAGGAAUAUUGGUCAAUGGGCGAGAGCCUGAACCAGCCAAGUAGCGUGCAGGAUGACGGCCCUAUGGGUUGUAAACUGCUUUUAUGCGGGGAUAAAGUGAGGGACGGUCC